RNAcentral lists this ribosomal RNA (460 nucleotides) under uncultured bacterium. RNAcentral describes it as "partial 16S ribosomal RNA". It matches the Rfam family "Bacterial small subunit ribosomal RNA", at positions 338 to 795 of the family's 1533-position model. The record is from RNAcentral.
CCUACGGGAGGCAGCAGUGAGGAAUAUUGGUCAAUGGACGAGAGUCUGAACCAGCCAAGUAGCGUGAAGGAUGACUGCCCUAUGGGUUGUAAACUUCUUUUAUAUGGGAAUAAAAUGUUCCACGUGUGGGAUUUUGUAUGUACCAUAUGAAUAAGGAUCGGCUAACUCCGUGCCAGCAGCCGCGGUAAUACGGAGGAUCCGAGCGUUAUCCGGAUUUAUUGGGUUUAAAGGGAGCGUAGGUGGAUUGUUAAGUCAGUAGUGAAAGUUUGCGGCUCAACCGUAAAAUUGCAGUUGAAACUGGCAGUGUUGAGUAGAGUAGAAGUGAGCGGAAUUCGUGGUGUAGCGGUGAAAUGCUUAGAUAUCACGAAGAACGCCGAUUGCGAAGGCAGUUCACUGGACUGCAACUGACACUGAGGCUCGAAAGUGUGGGUAUCGAACAGGAUUAGAUACCCGAGUAGUC